This 286-nucleotide ribosomal RNA is filed under the name uncultured bacterium. RNAcentral describes it as "partial 16S ribosomal RNA". The record is from RNAcentral.
CUGCUGCCUCCCGUAGGAGUCUGGUCCGUGUCUCAGUACCAGUGUGGGGGGCCUUCCUCUCAGAACCCCUACGCAUCGUCGGAACGGUGGUCCGUCACACCGCCGUCUUCCUAAUGCGCCGCAUGCCCAUCCCCGCCCGCCCAAAAGGGCGUUCCUCCCCCGGGGAUGCCCCCAGGGGAUGUACGCGGUAUCAGCCCCCCUUUCGGAGGGUUGUACCCCUGGCGGGGCAGGUUGCAUACGUGUUACUCACCCGUGCGCCGGUCGCCGGCGGGACGCGCAAGCGCCG